CCAGACUCCUACGGGAGGCAGCAGUGGGGAAUAUUGCACAAUGGGGGAAACCCUGAUGCAGCGACGCCGCGUGAGUGAAGAAGUAUUUCGGUAUGUAAAGCUCUAUCAGCAGGGAAGAAAAUGACGGUACCUGACUAAGAAGCCCCGGCUAACUCCGUGCCAGCAGCCGCGGUAAUACGGAGGAUGCGAGCGUUAUCCAGAUUUAUUGGGUUUAAAGGGUGCGCAGGCGGCGUGUCAAGCAAGCGGUAAAAUAGCGGGGCUCAACCCCGUCGAGCCGUUUGAACUGGCGCGCUUGAGUUCAGGCGCGGUAGGCGGAAUUCGUGGUGUAGCGGUGAAAUGCAUAGAUAUCACGAAGAACUCCGAUUGCGAAGGCAGCUUACCAGUCUGCGACUGACGCUCAGGCACGAAAGCGUGGGUAUCGAACGGGAUUAGAUACCCGAGUA
RNAcentral lists this ribosomal RNA (443 nucleotides) under uncultured bacterium. Its description in RNAcentral is "bacterial SSU rRNA". It matches the Rfam family "Bacterial small subunit ribosomal RNA", at positions 331 to 792 of the family's 1533-position model. The record is from RNAcentral.